Molecule: transfer RNA, 86 nt
Filed under: Nitrospirota bacterium
Lineage: Bacteria; Pseudomonadati; Nitrospirota
Description: Nitrospirae bacterium (hydrothermal vent metagenome) tRNA-Leu
Rfam family: tRNA
About the family: Transfer RNA (tRNA) molecules are approximately 80 nucleotides in length. Their secondary structure includes four short double-helical elements and three loops (D, anti-codon, and T loops).
Source: RNAcentral
GCCGGAGUGGUGGAAUGGCAGACGCGGCGGACUCAAAAUCCGCUGGGGGCAACCCCGUGCGGGUUCAAAUCCCGCCUCCGGCACCA